CCAUGAAGUGACAAAUUCCAUGUUAGAAAAAUCAUGUAAAGACAUGGGUUUGACACAGUUUAUAAUCACUUGGUCCUCCCAUACUUUACAUGCCGUAGUUUGACAAAGGAAGAUUGAAAAUCAUGUAUACAUGCAUCCACAGAUGCUUUCACUUCAGCACGACUACAGUAUACAAAAGGUUGAAUAUCACCUUCGGCCUAUCCAUCAGUUUGGAUAUUUAUCACCUUCAGCAAGACUACUUAUUCAUUAGAAAUGGAUCUCUUGAAUAUCACCUUCGGCUUAUCCAUCAGUUUGGAGAUUUAUCACCUUCAGCAAGACUACUUAUUCAUUAGCAAUGGACCUCGUGACCUUUAUUGUCAAUCUACAUUUUCGAAGUAUAUUUAAAUGAAAACACGAGGGCUCUAUAAAAGGCUCCCACAUAACCUACACACAUAUAAAAGGCCCAUGACUGCUCCACUGUCAAGAAAGCAUUACCAAAAACCAGAAUGAGCCAAAUGUUGAAGCUGAAAAAGAGGAUACACCAAUCAACAUAUUUGAGUACCAAAAAAAGGCACGUAGACAUAAAACAAUUGUUGUCUGAUCAAUUAAAAAAUGGACAACUUUUUUCGUUAGGUGCAAAGUGAACUUCAAAGUUAUCUUACAGAUUUAGUUGCAAGGUUGACCAAGCAAAGCGAAUGACCCAUUACUACUGAACGUACAGAAUCGUGUUUGGAUAGCACCAACUAAUGUUUCAUUAUGUGACAUUUUUCACAUUAUUCAGCGCGCUUCAAUAAUUUAUAGUGCCCCUUUCUUAAAAGUAAUAUAUCUUUAUUUCAACAUUACCAUAGAAAAUAUCCUUCCAAAACAUGAUCGGCACAGAGCAAAAACCACACAUAUAUCUUUAUUUGAACAUGAAAAAGGAUGAAAAACACAUAAACAUGUAGUUAUAUAGAUGUGAACAUAUCAAAUACUUGUUUUCAUGAAUAUCUUGAAGUAUCACAGUCCUAUAUUUUAUUUUUGCUGGAAAUCACACUCCUAUACUAAAAGGCUAAUCUCCAAAUAAGUAAAUAAAUUAUUUCUCUUAUACUCCCUCUGUAAAGAAAUAUAAGAGCGUUUGGAUCACUACUUUAGUUAUCUAAACACUCUUAUAUUUAUUUACAGAGGGAGUACAUCAUAUCAAUGUACAGAAUCUCAGCCUGCAAAUAAAAAUCCUCAGAUAUGUGCAUUGAGUUUUUUGCUGUUAUUAUCCUAGCAGGAGCCCCCUAUCUCAUCUUUUACUGUUCGUUUAUACUUAAAAGUAAAAUACACGACGUUGAUCAUUAUUUUUGUUCGAAAGUAGCAUAAUCCAAAUUAGCCGAUGUGGAAUCCCUUAGAACUAAUCAGGCUGACAUAAAGCCGGUGAAAUCAAUAACACAAUAGAACAAUAAUUAAAUGCUUAGUUUUAAGCAUUGUUGAGGAAAUCGUUUACUGGUAGCUGCUCGGUUGGCUGGUGAGUAGGGGAUUAAUAGGCUAAUCGGCAAGUUAAUCUGCCAUUUAAUCAAUUAAUCAGAUGAUUUAUCGAUUUAUCGGCUACUCGGUGACCCUACGAGUAGAGAUUAAUCGGCAAGUUAACUGGUUAGUCGGAUGAAUUCUUGAACAGGGGUUUUAAGUUUUACUUAAAGGCAUAGACCUGUAAAGUAGUUAUCCAACCAAUUAGAUAAAAGACCUUGAUUUGAGUAUACCUGGACUUAAACCUUUCAUUAGCAAUCAUUUUGUUGUUGGU
This 1741-nucleotide long non-coding RNA is filed under the name Triticum aestivum (bread wheat). Its description in RNAcentral is "long non-coding RNA (TAES_LNC022910)". The record is from RNAcentral. Lineage: Eukaryota; Viridiplantae; Streptophyta; Magnoliopsida; Poales; Poaceae.